Molecule: unclassified non-coding RNA, 541 nt
Filed under: Hevea brasiliensis (rubber tree)
Lineage: Eukaryota; Viridiplantae; Streptophyta; Magnoliopsida; Malpighiales; Euphorbiaceae
Source: RNAcentral
ACUUCCCUCAUCUCUGCUUCCCUGGCCCUGAGAUACAACAAGUUCUCAUGGAUUGCGGAAACUGCACCUUCUAACUUCGCAAGCUCCAGCUCGACGCCCUCAAGCUUUUCUUUUCGAGCCACCGAGUCCCAGUCCUUGGCUGCAAUCCCAAUCUUCCAAUCAAGGCUAACACUAGCCCCUACACUUUUGUCAGGGCCAGGGCUAUCUAUCCAGAAACAAGCCAGGUAGUUGCCAGCCUCGGUAGUUGUGAAGGCAAACUGACCUGAUGUAGCAUUUUCUUUGUGAUGAAGUGUGUUCCCAUAUGGUGAAGUCACCUUGCAGGAGAGGGAGGGAGUGCCGUGGGUGCUGUGAUCCUCGUGGAUGGAGUAAUAGUCGGCGAGGACGACGACGUUGGGCUGGAUCUCCUCCGAUACGCACUUCGUUCCCGACGGCGGCAACUCCAACCACACGGCGUUUGCCGCCGGCAGCAGGAGGAGCGGGAGGAGGAGGAGCAACGCCGCGGCGGAUCUCUGGAUCGCGGCACGGUGCGCCAUCGGCGUUU